GACGAACGCUGGCGGCGUGCUUAACACAUGCAAGUCGAACGGAAAGGCCCUGCUUUUGUGGGGUGCUCGAGUGGCGAACGUGUGAGUAACACGUGAGUAACCUGCCCUGGACUUUGGGAUAACUUCGGGAAACUGGGGCUAAUACCGGAUAGGAGCUCCUGCUGCAUGGUGUGGGUUGGAAAGUUUCGGCGGUUGGGGAUGGACUCGCGGCUUAUCAGCUUGUUGGUGGGGUAGUGGCUUACCAAGGCUUUGACGGGUAGCCGGCCUGAGAGGGUGACCGGCCACAUUGGGACUGAGAUACGGCCCAGACUCCUACGGGAGGCAGCAGUGGGGAAUAUUGCACAAUGGGCGGAAGCCUGAUGCAGCAACGCCGCGUGCGGGAUGACGGCCUUCGGGUUGUAAACCGCUUUCGCCUGUGACGAAGCGUGAGUGACGGUAAUGGGUAAAGAAGCACCGGCUAACUACGUG
Molecule: ribosomal RNA, 468 nt
Filed under: uncultured bacterium
Lineage: Bacteria
Description: partial 16S ribosomal RNA
Rfam family: Bacterial small subunit ribosomal RNA
Source: RNAcentral